This 154-nucleotide non-coding RNA is filed under the name Clostridium sp. RNAcentral describes it as "GlcN6P sequence". It matches the Rfam family "glmS glucosamine-6-phosphate activated ribozyme aptamer". From Rfam's summary of the family: This entry contains a glucosamine-6-phosphate activated ribozyme that is found in the mRNA for GlmS. GlmS is an enzyme that uses fructose-6-phosphate and glutamine to generate glucosamine-6-phosphate. The record is from RNAcentral. Lineage: Bacteria; Bacillati; Bacillota; Clostridia; Eubacteriales; Clostridiaceae.
ACACGUUCAAAAGCGCCGGGACUGCGUGUGCAGUUGACGAGGCGGAGGAUGAUCGAACCAUUCGGCGGGUGCCUCCUUUUCGCGUCGCGCGGAAAAGAGCCGAUGCUCAAAACCCGUUCGCAAGGACGGCGACAAAAGCACGGCACGCGACACA